UGGGGUUUGACGAGUUAUUCUAUAACCUCCGUCUAGUCGGGACUCAUGAUAGAAGGAUUGUAUCACACGGUAACUGCACCAAGAGAUUCAGUAUUCCAUUCUACUGGAAUGCCACUACAUGCUGCUAGGUGUCACUGGUGGAUUGUAAGACUCGUGAGAAUUAUUUAGAUGAUCGAUAAUUCUCAUUGGGCUGAGUUAGAAUUGUUCCGAUCCACUGAAAAGAGUUUCAGUGAUAUUAUUGAGUGUGAUCAAAAUA
Molecule: long non-coding RNA, 256 nt
Filed under: Ananas comosus (pineapple)
Lineage: Eukaryota; Viridiplantae; Streptophyta; Magnoliopsida; Poales; Bromeliaceae
Description: long non-coding RNA (ACOM_LNC003312)
Source: RNAcentral